Molecule: unclassified non-coding RNA, 291 nt
Filed under: uncultured Basidiomycota
Lineage: Eukaryota; Fungi; Basidiomycota
Description: sequence contains 5.8S rRNA gene, ITS2, 28S rRNA gene
Source: RNAcentral
AACGCACCUUGCACUCUUUGCGUAAGUAAAGAGUAUACCUGUUUGAGAAUCAGUUCAUAACUACACACACCGUGUGUGUGUGUGAUUUGGCCGUCAGCUUCUGCCGUCGGUUUAAAUGCAGUAAGCUCCAGUUACGAUUAAGGCGUUUGGACAUUGUGUGAUAGAGACACUAGUUGUCUGCUCACAAUGCGUCUAAGCGGAUCACCGGUUGUAGCUGGGCUUUGCUUACAGUGCUGCAAGCCAGCCAUUUCUUUUGAUCUCAAAUCAGGUAAGGCUACCCGCUGAACUUAA